GAUUAGCCGCUGUUCAAGCUCUGGCAUGCAUGGUAUAUAUGGAUACAUCCAAGGUCACCAGGGCACUAUGUGGAGCUGUUCCCCUAGACUCUGAAGAUACAAGUGUUAGUCUUCUGUUGUUGUUUUGUUCUUGAUUAUUACAGACCUCUUUCUGAAAAGCCCGGAAUUGGUACAAGCCAUGUUUCCCAAACUGAACAAUCAAGAAAGAGUUACACUGUUAGACCUUAUGAUAGCCAAGAUAACGAGUGAUGAGCCACUCACCAAGGAUGACAUCCCUGUGUUUUUGCGGCAUGCUGAGUUGAUUGCAAGCACCUUUGUGGAUCAGUGCAAGACUGUGCUCAAGCUGGCCUCUGAGGAGCCUCCUGAUGAUGAGGAGGCACUGGCUACAAUUAGGCUUCUCGACGUCCUGUGCGAAAUGACUGCGAAUACCGAGCUGCUCGGCUAUCUGCAGGUUUUCCCUGGCUUGCUGGAAAGAGUGAUUG
Molecule: small RNA, 482 nt
Filed under: Pan troglodytes (chimpanzee)
Lineage: Eukaryota; Metazoa; Chordata; Mammalia; Primates; Hominidae
Description: processed transcript
Source: RNAcentral